GUGGAUUAGAUACCCCGGUAGUCCACGCCGUAAACGAUGGAUACUAGGUGUAGGAGGUAUCGACCCCUUCUGUGCCGCAGUUAACACAAUAAGUAUCCCACCUGGGGAGUACGAUCGCAAGAUUGAAACUCAAAGGAAUUGACGGGGGCCCGCACAAGCAGUGGAGUAUGUGGUUUAAUUCGAAGCAACGCGAAGAACCUUACCAGGUCUUGACAUCCUUGGAAUCCUUAAGAGAUUAGGGAGUGCCUUCGGGAGCCAAGAGACAGGUGGUGCACGGCCGUCGUCAGCU
RNAcentral lists this ribosomal RNA (289 nucleotides) under uncultured bacterium. RNAcentral's name for it is "partial 16S ribosomal RNA". It matches the Rfam family "Bacterial small subunit ribosomal RNA", at positions 773 to 1060 of the family's 1533-position model. The record is from RNAcentral.